UUUAAUGGCUGCAGUAAUUUGACUGUACAAAGGUAACAUAAUCAAUAGUUUUUUAAUUAAAAGCUUGUAUGAAAGGUUGGACGAAAUAAAAACUGUCUUUAGUUAAUAGAAUUAGAAUUUCAUUUUUGAAUUAAAAUGUUUAAAUUUAUAUAAAAGACAAGAAAACCCUAUAGAGUUUAAUAAUUUCUGUAAUAUAAUUAAUUUUGAUAUUUAAAUUUUAUAUUAUUAAAAUUAUUUUAUUGGGGGUAAUAUAAUUCUUUUUAAUUUUAUUUUAUUAAUUUAUAUAAACUUGAUCCAUAAUUUAUGAUUAAAAGAUAAAAUUACCUUAGGGAUAACAGUGUAAUUUUUUUAGAGAGUUUAUAUUGAUAAAAACGUUUGGGACCUCGAUGUAGGAUUAAGAAUUAAUUUAGGAGCAAAAGUUUAAAUUUUUGGUUUGUUCGACCAUUGAAUUCUUACAUGACUGGGUUCAGACCCGUAUAAACCAGGUCGGUUUCUAUCUUUAUAAAAUAAAGAUAUUUUAGUACGAAAGGACCAAAUAUAUGUUAUAAUAAUUUAAGUUUGAUUAUCAAUAGAUUAUUUUGGCAGAUUAGUGCAAUAAAUUUAGAUUUCAUUAAUGUAAUUAUAUUACAAAUAAUACUUGUAUAUUAUUGAUUUAUUAUUAAUUUUUAUUUCUAUGUUAUUCUUAGUAAUUUGUGUAUUAGUGAG
This 705-nucleotide ribosomal RNA is filed under the name Scotodipnus glaber. RNAcentral's name for it is "LSU rRNA". The stretch from base 331 to 488 matches the Rfam family "Bacterial large subunit ribosomal RNA", at positions 2473 to 2632 of the family's 2925-position model. Lineage: Eukaryota; Metazoa; Arthropoda; Insecta; Coleoptera; Carabidae. The record is from RNAcentral.